This is a long non-coding RNA of Gopherus evgoodei (Goodes thornscrub tortoise), 697 nucleotides long. RefSeq lists it as uncharacterized. The record is from RefSeq and is a predicted model, not a curated record. The transcript has 3 exons. NCBI's taxonomy places the organism in Eukaryota, Metazoa, Chordata, Testudines, Testudinidae.
GGGAGCUGUGAGGAGAGGGGGCAGGGAGGGACUAGAGGUGGGGGGGAAGCUGUGAGGAGAGGGGAGGCUUCAUGCACUAGCCUGGCUGCUGCAAUGUCUCUUAACCAUAACUUCAGCAGCAGGUUCUCCUCUCCCCCCUUCCCCCAGGGCAGUGGCAAAGGCAGCUUUUUUGUUGGCUUGAGGACAGGGGUACUAGGCACCUGGUUUUCAGCUAGAACACCUGGUCAAAAAGGGACCCUGGAAGCUCCCAUCAGCAUUGCUGACCAGGCUGUUAAAAGGCAGGCUUCUUGCUGUGUGCGCUGCCUGCCCCACGCUCUGGCUCCGCAGAAUGGGAGCUGCAGGGGUGGUGCCUGCACUGUGCACUGCUGCCUGUCUGCCUAGGGGCCAGAAUUGCUGUCCUCGUCCUGGAGCAGCAGGGAGCGAGGGCAGGCAGUCAGGGAGCCAGCCUGCUUUAGUCCCACUGCACUGCUGAGUGGGCGGUACCUGAGGAGCCAAAAGUCUCAUUUAAAAAGCAACCUUGCAAAGCAGAUCCAAAUGCUUCUUCGUGCUGCCAUGAAUGGAAGAAGCUCCAAUGGAGUGAAGAGCUUCAUUUCUUUUGCAUGGUCCUGAGCUGGAAGCCUUCCAUAGGGGCCUCAGGCUGCUGGAAGAUGAAUUGCUGCUGGUUCUCGUCUACCUGGGGAGCCAGGCUGGAGUCGUC